Molecule: ribosomal RNA, 1276 nt
Filed under: uncultured bacterium
Lineage: Bacteria
Description: bacterial SSU rRNA
Rfam family: Bacterial small subunit ribosomal RNA
Source: RNAcentral
CUGCAGUGGCGGCUGCUUACACAUGCAGUCGAACGGUAAGGCCCUUCGGGGUACACGAGUGGCGAACGGGUGAGUAACACGUGGGUGAUCUGCCCUGCACUUUGGGAUAAGCCUGGGAAACUGGGUCUAAUACCGAAUAGGACUCCGGACUGCAUGGUCUGGGGUGGAAAGCUUUUGCGGUGUGGGAUGGGCCCGCGGCCUAUCAGCUUGUUGGUGGGGUGAUGGCCUACCAAGGCGACGACGGGUAGCCGGCCUGAGAGGGUGACCGGCCACACUGGGACUGAGAUACGGCCCAGACUCCUACGGGAGGCAGCAGUGGGGAAUAUUGCACAAUGGGCGCAAGCCUGAUGCAGCGACGCCGCGUGGGGGAUGACGGCCUUCGGGUUGUAAACCUCUUUCAGCACAGACGAAGCGCAAGUGACGGUAUGUGCAGAAGAAGGACCGGCCAACUACGUGCCAGCAGCCGCGGUAAUACGUAGGGUCCGAGCGUUGUCCGGAAUUACUGGGCGUAAAGAGCUCGUAGGUGGUUUGUCGCGUUGUUCGUGAAAACUCACAACUCAAUUGUGGGCGUGCGGGCGAUACGGGCAGACUGGAGUACUGCAGGGGAGACUGGAAUUCCUGGUGUAGCGGUGGAAUGCGCAGAUAUCAGGAGGAACACCGGUGGCGAAGGCGGGUCUCUGGGCAGUAACUGACGCUGAGGAGCGAAAGCGUGGGGAGCGAACAGGAUUAGAUACCCUGGUAGUCCACGCCGUAAACGGUGGGUACUAGGUGUGGGUUUCCUUCCUUGGGAUCCGUGCCGUAGCUAACGCAUUAAGUACCCCGCCUGGGGAGUGCGGCCGCAAGGCUAAAACUCAAAGAAAUUGGCGGGGGCCCGCACAAGCGGCGGAGCAUGUGGAUUAAUUCGAUGCAACGCGAAGAACCUUACCUGGGUUUGACAUGCACAGGACGCCGGCAGAGAUGUCGGUUCCCUUGUGGCCUGUGUGCAGGUGGUGCAUGGCUGUCGUCAGCUCGUGUCGUGAGAUGUUGGGUUAAGUCCCGCAACGAGCGCAACCCUUGUCCUAUGUUGCCAGCGGGUUAUGCCGGGGACUCCUAAGAAACUGCCGGGGUCACUCCGAAGAAAGGUGGGGGAUGAACGUCAAAUCAUCCUGGCCCCUUAUGUCCAGGGGUUUCACCAUGCUUCAAUGGGCCGGUUCAAAAGGGUUCCGAUUCCCUGGAGGUGGAGACAAAUCCUCUCUAAAGCCGGGCUCAGUUUGAGAAUACGGGGGUGGCGACCUCC